GAGAGAGAGAGAGAGAGAGAGAGAGAGAGAGAGAGAUGGGUUUGUAUUUGUUGCUUCAGCUCUUCUGGCUAUCAAUAACAGUAGAAGUACUAGCAUCACAACCUCUAGCAACAACCAAGCGCGGCUGCCCCGACAAAUGUGGGAAUGUUAGCAUUCCCUACCCGUUUGGCAUAGGCGAUAACUGCAACAUUGGCGUAGAAGGCUUCAAUAUCUCCUGCGAUAACACUCUUCCCCAUCCGAAACCAUUUUGGGGCGAGCUUGAGGUUCUCGACAUAUCAUUAACGCAGGGCCUAAUGAGAAUUUCAAACGAUAUAAGCUAUAAGUGUUACAACAAAAUCACAGGAGAUUCGGUCAACUACUCCACCACUGGGCUCCAGUUAUAUGAAGAUUACUCCUUCACAUUCUCAGAAACCCUUAACAGAUUCAUUUCCAUCGGUUGCGAUACUGUUGGCUUGAUCACUGGCGAAUGGGGCAGCGACUUCACCAGUGGUUGUGUUUCAAUUUGCCGCUUCCCUGACAACGUGACCACCGACGGCUCUUGCUCAGGGGCAGGAUGUUGCCAAACCGAGAUCCCAAAGGAUUUGAAGAGUUUCGGGGUGGAUUUUGCUAGCUUCUCCAGCCAUCUAAAUGUCUCAAGUUUCAAUCCGUGCAGCUUCGCCUUUCUCGGGGAGGCAGAUGUGUUCAGAUUCAAACCUUCUGAUUUGGAAGAAACCAACUUUUUGGAAAGAAGCAAAACCAUUCCGGUAGUGGUUGACUGGGUCAUUGGAAAUGAAGGGUGCGAGAUCGCACGGAAGAACUCGGCCACCUUCGCUUGCGUGAGCGAGAACAGCUUCUGCUAUAGCCCGACCAGCGGUUCGGGUUACCGGUGCAAUUGCACUGAAGGUUUCCGGGGGAAUCCUUAUCUCCAUGGAGGAUGCCAAGAUAUCAACGAGUGUGAGGAGGAUCACCAGAAGACACUUUGUCAACAUGAUUGCAUAAAUCUGCCAGGAAAUUAUUCUUGUUCCUGUCGAAAGGGCUACCGAUUCCAGGAGGAUAACAAAUACUGCGUCAAAGACACAAAUGAAUUUCCAGUGACCGCUGUUGUUCUGGGUAUUGGCUUAAGUCUCUUAUUUCUACUCAUUGGUAGUCCUUCCUUGUAUUGGGUAUGGAGGAAAAGAAAGCUCAUCAAACUCAAAGAGAAAUUCUUUCAACAAAAUGGAGGUUUUCUAUUACAAGAAAAGAUCUCUUCUUGUCAAUCAUCUACUGAGCCAUGCAAAAUCUAUACUACAGAAGAGUUGGAAAAGGCAACCAAUAACUAUGACAAAAACCAAAUUGUUGGUCAGGGAGGCUAUGGCACAGUUUACAAAGGAAUUUUACCAGACAAGAGAAUUGUCGCUGUUAAAAAGUCCAAAAUUGUCGAUGAGACCCAAAUCGAGCAAUUUAUAAAUGAGAUCCACAUCUUAUCUCAGAUCAACCAUAGGAACAUUGUAAAGCUCGAGGGUUGCUGUUUAGAAGCAGAAGUUCCCAUCCUGGUUUAUGAAUUUAUUUCAAGUGGAACCCUUUCCCAGCAUAUCCAUGAUGAGGGCCGUGUGUCAUCAAUUUCCUUGGAAAAUCGUCUAAGGAUUGCUGCAGAAACUGCUGGGGCACUUUACUAUUUACACUCGGCGGCUUCCACACCCAUUUUUCAUAGAGAUGUUAAGUCUGCUAAUAUACUUUUGGAUGAUAAUUUCACAGCAAAAGUGUCUGAUUUUGGAGCUUCAAGAUUGGUUCCGUUGGAUCACACUCGGAUAACGACAUUGGUGAUGGGGACAUGGGGAUAUUUAGACCCAGAGUACCAUCAAACAGGCCAAUUAACAGGAAAGAGUGAUGUUUAUAGCUUUGGUGUAGUUCUUGUGGAACUCUUGACGGGUGAGGGGCCCGUUUCUUCCACUAGAUCCCAAGUUAAUAGAAGCCUUUCUAGCUACUUCCUCUCAUCGAUGAAAGAGAAUCGGAUCUUUGAAAUUUUAGAGGAACGAGUUCGAGAAGAAGGGACGGAAGAACAGCUCAUUGCAGUUGCUCGGCUUGCUAAGAGAUGCUUGAAACUUAAGGGGGAAGAACGACCUACGAUGAAGGAAGUGGUGGUGGAGCUAGAGGGCUUAAGAAGGAUUCAUGAACAUCCUUGGGAACCAAAGAACCAUGAAGAGACUGAGAACUUGCUAGGUGAACCUGGAGCUUCGCAGGGCUACACUGGCAAUGUAACAAAUGAAUAUAGUGUUGAUGGCCACACCCUAUCAGCACUAGAUAUAGAGAUAGGGCGUUGAUUCACUUCCAUUAAAAAGAUCUUACCACACUUAAUUUCUUUCGAAGGUAAGACCCUAAUAUCUUAUCUUGUUUUUGCAACUAAGAUGAAUACCACAAAGGGAAUUGAUAUCUUCAACAACUCUAAUUGAUUUGUUCAUAUACCCAUUUUCUGUUUUGGAAAUUGAAAUAGUGCCUUUUUGUUGGGUGUCAAUAUAGUGGAGAUUGAAGAAGUAGAAUAUGGUGGAGCAAUCUUUCUGCAUUACUCAUGCCAGGCUGAUGUGUGAAUUGGGUCCACCAAGAUGCAGGGGCCAGCAUGGAUGGUUUAUCUAAAAAUCACUCAUAUCUCAUCUUUGGCCAUUAUAGUGUUGAAAAACGAAAUACUUAGAACUAUCAAAUAUGAAGUGAGAUGAACUGUAGAAAAUGUUUUAUUAUUAAAUGUAAGCUAUCCAUCCUGGUGCCAGUGACCUAAUAGGUGCAUUAACCUGCCACGUGGUAUGUGGAGAGAUGGCUCUACCAUAUAAUAGUUCUUUUGGGUUGAUACAUUGUAGCAUCCAAUCCACUUGUGGUACCUCCAUUCAAUUCUCAAAAUGGGUUUAAGUAGUUAGCUCCCUAUUCUAAUAUGACAUUUGACUUUUUGUUAACAUUUCAGGUAAAAUAGUGUUGUAUUGUGCUAAGGGAGAUAUGGUUCAUAUACUACAAGUCAGUAAGUGUUUUCUACGACUCACGUUCACCUGUGGAUACAAGUUAUUAAUAUGUAGUAGAAGGUAUUCGCCUACGUCCACCGUAAUGUGGUGUGUUCAAGUAUAAAAUACGCAUGUAUAAGUUGCAUAUAUGUGCAAUUAUAUGGAUAGAGAUCCCCUACUUA
RNA transcript from Magnolia sinica, 3124 nucleotides. It is a transcript of the gene named putative wall-associated receptor kinase-like 16, with no coding region annotated. The record is from RefSeq and is a predicted model, not a curated record. NCBI's taxonomy places the organism in Eukaryota, Viridiplantae, Streptophyta, Magnoliopsida, Magnoliales, Magnoliaceae. The transcript is spliced from 4 exons.